Molecule: ribosomal RNA, 230 nt
Filed under: uncultured bacterium
Lineage: Bacteria
Description: partial 16S ribosomal RNA
Rfam family: Bacterial small subunit ribosomal RNA
Source: RNAcentral
UACGUAGGGCGCAAGCGUUGUCCGGAAUUAUUGGGCGUAAAGAGCUCGUAGGCGGCUUGUCGCGUCGAAUGUGAAAACCUGCAGCUCAACUGCAGGCUUGCAUUCGAUACGGGCAGGCUCGAGUUCGGUAGGGGAGACUGGAAUUCCUGGUGUAGCGGUGAAAUGCGCAGAUAUCAGGAGGAACACCGGUGGCGAAGGCGGGGUCUUGGCCGUGGUACCGUGACGACUGA